RNAcentral lists this ribosomal RNA (433 nucleotides) under Cepolella definita. Its description in RNAcentral is "Cepolis definita partial 16S ribosomal RNA". The record is from RNAcentral. Lineage: Eukaryota; Metazoa; Mollusca; Gastropoda; Stylommatophora; Xanthonychidae.
AGCUUGAAGCUUUUAUUUUAAGUGUUUUCUGCUCAAUGAUUAAUUUAAAUAGCCGCAGUACACUGACUGUGCAAAGGUAGCAUAAUAAUUUGGCUUAUAAUUGAAGUCUAGUAUGAAUGAAUUUAUGGGAUUAAACUGUCUUUAAUUUACUUAAUAAAAACUCCUAAAUAAGUGCAAAAUCUUAUUCAAUUAAAAUAGACGAGAAGACCCUAGAAAUUUKUUACAUAAAUGUACUUAUACAUGAUUAUUUUAUUGGGGCAAUAGAAUAACAAAUAAUUUAUUUUAUUAACAAGUAUUUUAUAAUAAGUUAGCUUAAAUUACUCUAGGGAUAACAGCGUAAUAUUAUAAUGUUUGUGACCUCGAUGUUGGACUAGGGUAGAUAUUAAGCAGAAGUUAAUAAUCUAUGCUCUGUUCGAGCUUAAUUCCCUACAUG